RNAcentral lists this ribosomal RNA (269 nucleotides) under Escherichia coli. RNAcentral describes it as "partial 16S ribosomal RNA". It matches the Rfam family "Bacterial small subunit ribosomal RNA", at positions 185 to 449 of the family's 1533-position model. The record is from RNAcentral. Lineage: Bacteria; Pseudomonadati; Pseudomonadota; Gammaproteobacteria; Enterobacterales; Enterobacteriaceae.
GUCGCAAGACCAAAGAGGGGGACCUUCGGGCCUCUUGCCAUCGGAUGUGCCCAGAUGGGAUUAGCUUGUUGGUGGGGUAACGGCUCACCAAGGCGACGAUCCCUAGCUGGUCUGAGAGGAUGACCAGCCACACUGGAACUGAGACACGGUCCAGACUCCUACGGGAGGCAGCAGUGGGGAAUAUUGCACAAUGGGCGCAAGCCUGAUGCAGCCAUGCCGCGUGUAUGAAGAAGGCCUUCGGGUUGUAAAGUACUUUCAGCGGGGAGGAA